Molecule: long non-coding RNA, 11347 nt
Organism: Homo sapiens (human)
Lineage: Eukaryota; Metazoa; Chordata; Mammalia; Primates; Hominidae
Exons: 3
Source: RefSeq, a predicted model, not a curated record
GCCUGGACCAUAAUUAGUGCUCAAUAAAUAUCAAUAAUUACCAGUACAAGAACUGGCUUUAUGCACAUUUGUUGAAGAAGAAAGGAAAAUGUUGGGAGAAAAAUAGAAAUCUCUGUGAAUUAUUUGUGAAUUUGGGAAAUUCAGAAUAUUCAUUUUUCUGUAUUUCCAUUCAAGCCUUGUGAUUUUUGUCUACUACAUUUUUCUUUCCUUUUACAGAAACAGAUGUUGUUUUUGGUGAUGUAAGUUACCAGGGUUGGGGGUCUGAUCUGGAGGAACUGGGAGGUGAGUUCCAGCCCCUUCCCUCAGUUUCUCAUCAUUGUGGAGCAGUCUUGCCCUCUUCCUUCGAUCAAGCUUCAAAGCUUCAUGGCAACCACAUUUAAUGUUUAUUGCUAAUGUUAUUAGUUUCUAAUCAGAGCCUACUGCGAUUAUUACCUAAUAGCUAUUGCUUUGCACUUCCAACCAGAUGUCAAAAAUAAUGAGCCAAUAAGACUGCUAUUAAUUUAGACUGAAUGACAGUUUUAGGCCCUCGGAGCUGAAGAUUAGGGGCCUCAUAAAAGCAGGGCACAAAUAAUUCGAGUGCUCAAAAGUAAUAGCAAAAAUGGUGAGAAUGUGAAUUAAUAGGUAAGUGUUUCUAAUUUACAAAUGAAACAUGCAGCUUGAAAUAUCAACACUUCUCCUGCAUUCUCCUGCGAUGAAUGGAGCAGUCCUCAUGGAUCCCAGCCUCCAGGAUUUGGGUAGAAUGGCUCAGAAAGUUUGCUGUCUAUAGGAAGAAGAGAUGAUAUUAGCAUAGAUCUGUUUACCUGGUCCUAUUUGGUUCCAGUGAGAGAAUGGGGCCAGGUCAGCAAGUGCCUAGAAGAGACCUUCUCCCGGCAUCAAGCGUUCCAUGAAACGUGUGUCCAUUUUGCUGACAGGCUCUGGUGCAUUCUGAUUGACUUCCAGAUGCCUUUCCUGACAUGCACCCCAUUGUAGAUGAUUAUCCUCCUUCUAACUCAUGGAUGCUGUCAUCCUGUACACCAUUGGGUAUGGGAUGCUUGGGUUCAAAUCUUAAUUGCAUUAUGCUCUGAGGGUGUGACCUUGAGCAAGGUGUCCAUCAUCUCUGAAUCUUAGCUCCCUCCCCUUUUAAGGUGUCCAUAUCAAUAGCACGUAACUUGUAGGAUUACCACUGAUCAUUGGAAGAAAUAGCAGAUACAAGGAUCUCAGCACAGUGCCUGUCACACCAAUGAACUGGAGAAAUUGUCACUGUUGCUUAAACACUAGGGCUCUGUUUCUCCUUCACCUUGAUCAUUUAUUCCCUCUGUUUAUUCAUGCCUUUAGGUACCUAUUUAUCAAAGCAGGAGAAAAAUUUUAAAAAGUUCAUUUCUUUUCUUCCUCCAGUCCUCAUAUAUUAAUCUGUAGACCCAAGCCUGUUUCAUUUCACUUUGUUCUACCAUUUUAAAGACAAACAUUGUCCAAAGGCAUGCUAUGGCUCCUUUUGGUAUAUAUUUGUUUACCAUGGUCCUGUUUGGUUCCAGUGAGAGAAUGGGACCAGGUCAGCAAGUGCCUGGAAGAGGAGACCGUCUCCCAGCAUCACGCAUUUCUCCAUGAAAUGUGUCUCCAUUUUGCUGACAGGCUCUGGUGCAUUCUGAUUGACCUCCAGAUGCACCAGAGCCUGUCAUAUAAGGGGAUGGGGUACGGAGGCGGAGACCCAGUCUGUGCUACAAUACCUUUAGUGUCUGGUGGGUGUCAUGGAGGAAAGAGGUCCCCGAGUGUAAGGGUGGGGUGAGCAGGGAGCAGUAAGGCUGCAGAAGGAGAUGGUGUCCCGUCUGGCCUGAGAAGAUGUUGUUGGAGAGACAAGCUAAUUGCUCUCAAAUGGCUACCUUUUCCACUAGGCACACAGAUACACUCCAGGAUGGAAUGCAGGCAGAAAUCAUGACCUCCAUCCACCUUUAACUUUCCAAGGCCUGGCCCAUAAACCCUCCCUGUCAGGCUUCCUGGUACCUCUUCCCUGGCUGCUAGCUGGAUGCUGAGGCCCUGGGGUGCUGAGCCACUGGUGGAGUGAAGCCUGGGCCUGAAAGGCUGGGUGAAACAGAAGUCAUGGGAUGGGCAGAAGAUGCUGAUCUAGGCUGAUACCUGGCAAACCCUACCUUGUCCUGCCCCUGACACUGCAGAUCUGAGGACGCGCUGGGGGAGCCGAGCAUCCAGGUGUGCAUUUUCCCAUCUUUGCCUCCUUUGCUGUGCCCCAUCCAUGGAUUCUUCCAUUAGUGACCCUGGGAUUUUAAGGCUUGUAGCCUGAGCACUCACAGGGAGGUGUGGGGACUGAGUAAUCCUCUCAAUUGAGCCUGUUAAUAAAUUUGUCACCACACUAGACGAGGGGAAAUGAUUUUAAAUUGAUUCGUGCAGAAUUUUGAUGUGUUCUGCACAUCCAACUUUGCUUUUGGUGCUCUGGUUAAGCAUUGGUGAGUCACCGGUUCAGCCUGAUUAUUCUUGCUGCUGUAAAAGUAGAAAUCAAUAUUAAUAUUUCCUCACUGUUAACCAUCUCUCUAGAACAAAUAUUUUUUCCCCUCCUUCUCCUUCUAUGACUUUGUUAUCUUUGCAUUUCUAAUUGUGUCUGAAAUUUAUGGAGUGUCUUUUUUUUUUUUUGGUAAAGAACUACAGUUUGUGAUGAUGCUGCUUUUCCCAUCACAUCUGGGAUCAGCGUUUGUAAUAGAUUCUCUUUUACGUUCAGCUCCUGAAGAGCACUCUCAUGAUCUGAUAAGAGAAGAUGAUCUUUGCUGGCCCUUUGAGGUAAUGAAUCCUUUUCAUUUGUUUUCUUGCAUACUUUCUAGGUCAGUGAGUGGAGGGAAUUUUUGUCCAACGUGCACCUUGACAGAGCUUCACUGACCACGGGCGGUGUCUCCCUGCUGCCACGCAGCACACCUCUGACCACAGACCUCUCUCCAGAGCCACGUGUUUGCUUCUCACCUGACAGGCUCUGUGAGAGCCCAUCUGUGCUUCCCUGGGAUGUCUGACCGCACGCAUCCCCCACUGUGCAUGGGAGCCCUGCUGGGCCCGUAGGUGGAAUUAUUUCUCAGUUUUAAUCUGAGUACAUAAUUGAGGCUUGUGCCAGCAAGGACUCCCAUCGCUUUCUUUCCUCACACUCCACACGUAGUGCUGCUCAGUGAUUUUACUGUUCCUCUAGGAAUGGCUCCCACCUGCUUAGAGUAUAAGAUUUAUCUCCUUAGCACACCAUGGGAAGUCUCCUAAAAUCCAUCCACUGCUUAUCUCUUUGGCCUCAGCUCUUGGCCCCCUGUGAUGAAACCCUGAUCUCUAGUCAUGCAGAGGUGCUUGCAACUUUCUGAAAGCUCCUUUCAAAGGUGCCUUUGCCUUCUGUUCCCUAUCCCUUCAGGGUCCUUCCCGGCUAGCCACUGCUCCUGGCUAAGUUCUGAGAGGUUGCAUCCACCUCGCGGGAGUGUUGGCCAUUUUCUCCCUUCGAGGUCCUUAUUGUUGGCCUUUCUCUCUUUCCCUACUAGACUCUAAGCUCCCUUAGAGUGGGGCCUCUGUCUCACCCAUCUCUCUGUGGCCCCCAUCUAGUGUGCGGUCAAGGCUUGCUGAGAGCUGCCUUUUCAUGUGUAUUAUGACAAUUCAGCCCAAUGACAAGUGGCUCACUCCAUCUCCAACACGCUCCUGUCAACCUUCCUUUUCCCUGGGUCUCUUCAGUUUAACCUUUUGUGGGCAUACCAUCAUGCAUUAGUUGGAAUCAGAUUGAUACUGGAGGUGUUUUUGUUUUCCAGAAAUGUCUGGGGAAAGUGUGCCUGUGUACUUUUCAUGUAUGUCCGUCGGAGGAAAAGUUUUCAUCAUUCAUUUAUUCUUGUAUCGAUUGCACAAAAUUGCUUAAGAUUCUCCUCUGUGUGUGGUUCCAUGGGAGCUUGGACCACUUUACAUGAUGAAUAGGACAGAGUAGAGUCCCUUUUGGGAAACAGGCAUCUGUAAAAUGCUAUGGGUACAUAAAGAGCCACCUAAUGGAAAUGGGUCACAGCUGGCACUCCAAAGGAGGCAAUGUCUGAGCUGAAUUGGAAGGAAAAGCAGGCAUUUGCCAAUGAGAACUUGGAGGGUUCUCCAGGAGCAGGGCGUGCAGAGAGCCCAUUGAGUGGAGGCGUGUAGGGAGCCAUGGGGACUUUGGUUUAUCUUAAGAACAAUAUGUGUUUGUGUGUACAAGGGAGGGGGCAGAAUAAGGAAUGGCAGAUAAAGCUGAAGAAGUGAGUAGAGGCCAGAUCACAGGGUCCUGACUGUGUCCUGGAUAAACACGGGGAUGCUGGAGGUUUAAUCAGGGUCAUGGCGUGGUAAUAUUUCCAAGUAGAAAGAUCACUUUGGUGGUGAAUUGCAAGGACUGGCCGAUUCCCCUGGUGGUAGGAAAAGAGGUGACCAGGCUGGUUUCCAGCGGAUCUGGGCUGGGGCUGAGCGUCUGGUUAGUGGUUAGGAAUAAGCUGAGGGAUAAUCUCAAGUCAGGCUCUGCUGUGGGGCAUGUGUUCCCUGCCGAGUGUGUGAGAUGUGAGUGCCUGUUCUGCUGGCUGUGCUUCCUUCCCCUGUCUCGGGGUGCCGGGGACUGAGCCCUGUGACUCCAAUUGACGGCUUCAUUUCACAAAUUAAACAUAUCAUGCUAGUGAACCGUUUCAGAGCCACAGCAUUACAGAAUAAGAAAACCACUGCAGCCCUAAGUCUACAAUGCUCAUGAAGCAAACAAUUCUCUGAAACAUUGACCCAGCACCUCAGAGCUCCCCAUAACAGGUCUACCUCUUUGGAAAGGUCAGACUUUUUAAAGGUUAAUUGUUACCCUUAAGAAAAAUGCAAAACAAACGGUAUGGCUGCAUAUUUAAUAGGUGUUUGGAACAGCAUUUCCCAGAAGCACAAUUCCUGAUGAUUUGAUUUUUAAAAAGAAUGGUCUAGAAAUAAAGUGCCCUUGGCAACUUCUGACUUGAAGAAAGUGAGUAUGCCACCUGUGGUUUAAGGAGUAUUAUUAUUAUACGUCUGAAAUGUCCUCUCCCUCCUCCCCUUUCCCCAAAGAAAACAAACCCAGCCAGACAGUAAUUUGACCAUUGCUAUGUCCUGGGUCUUUGCACAGUGGUGGCUGAACAGCUGAGCAUAGAGCGUCCAGGAGAUCUCAUCCUUGUCUGCCUUCUCUUGCCUACUCUUUCUCCCUCAGCUUUCUCCUCUGCUCCCAGCAUUGACCAGGCACUUGUCUGAAGCCAAGCUCUCCAUCAGACUCCCCAACACCUCCCACAUAGCUUACCGAAGAGCUCUCCCUGGACACCUUGCUGGGCGCCUCAGUGCAAUUUGUCCAAACCAAUUUAGCGCCUCUCUUUUCCAUGGCUCUGGUUCUGCCCUUAACUUCUUCCCUCUGCUGAGCUCUCCUCUCCUCCCUGCACUCAUCUUGCCCCCAGCUUGGAUUCUCCAGUUGUUUUCUCACGACUCAUUGUUCUUCUAGCAUGCUGUCCACCCUGGUGCUGGGUCCUACUGAGCUUUUUUCUCCCAAUCUGUCUCAGGACUGUCUCUUUUCAUUGUGGUGGCCACCACUCUAGACGGAACCUCUCUCCUGGAUCACUGCAAUAACUUCCCAAUUGCCUCUAUUACAGAUCAUCCAUUUUGCCCACUGACACAAGACAUUUUCUGGGAGAUCCAUUAUGAUUCUGCAAAUUCCUUGAUCAAAAUUUUUACUGUUUUCUUACUGUCUAUGGUAUGAAUCUCAGAAUUUCAGGGUUCACUGCCUUUCUACCUUAAUCCUUUACUACCUUUUCUUUUCAGUAACCUUCAUCACCCCCAAGUGGAUGGUCUCCAUUUUCCAAGCUGGCAGCUCACCCCCUCUCUCUGUGCCUCUGCUGCUGCGGUCCACACACCUGGAAUGCCCUCUGCACCCUGCACACGGCAUCCCCCCUCCUUCAAGCAUCGGUCAGAGGCCCCAUCCUCCUACCAGCUCCCUGAUCGCUCCAGUCUGGUGCAUUCAUUGUACCCCCAUGGCUUUACCCAUACUCUGGGUUUUCAUGAACACACGGGCAUGUGCUCAACACCUUCUCCUUCCAGCUCCAGAUGCUUUCCUGCAGGUCUCUACCUCAGCUGGCCUCUUUGCAGGAAAUUAACGGCGUCUCCUACCUUCUGGCUCCCAGUUGCGCUGGGCCAGUGGGGCAUAUCGAAAGGAGAGAGAGAGACAGGGCAUUUAUUCUUGGCUUCUUCCCUGUGUGGUUGCCCAGGCUGGCUGUUCCUGACUGAAGGCCUCCUGGCCUGAUGGAGCUGUCUUUCCUCUUCCAGUGGCUGCUCUUGCCCCUCUUCAGGUGAAGAACAUGCUGGUUUCAGGUUGUGACUCACCCCGAGGGGCUUGUGGAUUCCUUAUUCCCAGCUCACAACGUUGUAGCCCUUUAUUAAACACCCCUAACACGUUCCAGAUAGUCUUCCUUCCAAGACCCCAAGGAACACACUCCAUACACGCCUUGUGCUUCAAAUCUCAGAAUCACUGUGUCAAGCAAGAGAAGCCACCCAGGAAACAUAUGUGGGUGAAGUCAAGAACAGGCAGGACCGACCUACUGUGAUGGAAGUCAGAACACUGGAGGUUCAGUUUUGGAUUGGAGUUGACUUGAGGAAACUUUCUGAGGUUUGGAAAUGCUCUGUAUCCUGUUGAGGGUGGUGGUUGUGUGAGUAUAUGCAAUGGUCAAAACUCAUUGAACCCAUACACACGUUUUAUGGUAUCUAAAUGAUACCCCAAUAAGAAGUAAAUACAUAAGAUUACAAAGGAAAAUAACUGUGUUAAAAUAAGAUUAUUAAGAUGUCCAAUACAAAGAAGAUCCUCGUAGUUCCUCAACACACACAGCAACACACGCAUCAGAAUCCUAGGCUCCAGAACCCCAGAGAUGCACUGUCUGGAUGGACCUCUAACAAAGCAACCCCUGAAGGUGCAGCACCCAUCUUGCCGCCCAGGCAAUGCCUCUUCCAAAGGAAUGUACAACUCUUAGAAACAGGGACAUGGUCCCUGGCACAAUCCUAAGCACAGAGUAGGUACCUAAAGCUUGAAACCAAAAGUCAGCCCUCACUUAACAAAUGGAUGAAGAGUCAAAUAGAUUCUUAUUCUGAGCUAGGCAGCAGGUUAGCUACUAGAAGAGCCUAGUCUUCAGUUUUUAAAUUUAAUCUCGUAAACUCAGAAGACUCGUUGGCUCUUGGAGGUUUAGAUGAAUCUGGCUCACCUCUCAACCCCAGGGGUUCAAAGCUUGUGAAAAAUGCUUUGUUUCUCCAGAGAUGCCCCUGUCUCUACUCCCUUGGCUGUGACUGUCAUCUCACUACUACCUCCAUGAUAAUCUGGGCUCAGAUAUCUGCCAUUUGGGUGAGAAAAUCUGCUCCAGCCAAGCAAUGUGUGCUGAGUGGCUUCAUGAAGGACAUUAGGGUGUCAUGGUGCAGGGUUGCCGCUGACUGUCUGAUUAUCAUCAGCCUCCAGUGUGCUCCCUGCAUGCCUGCUUGCAGUCCACUGACUCCUUUAACUUAAAUCCCAGUGGGUGACCUUCUAUACCCUAAGCAUUCACUUGGGAAAUGGAAACUAUUCAUUCUUCUUCUUCUUUUUUUUUUUUUUUUUUUUUUGAGACAAAGUCUCGCUCUGUAGCCCAAGCUGGAGUGCAGUGGCUCGAUCUUGGCUCACUGCAACCUCUGCCUCCCCGGUCCUAGUUCAAGCAAUUCUCCUGCCUCAGCCUCCCAAAUGGCUGGGAUUAUAGGCAUGCGUCACCAUGCCCAGCUAAUUUUUGUAUUUUUAGUAGAGAUGGAGUUACAUCAUGUUGGCCAGGCUGGUCUUGAACUCCUGACCUCAUGAUCCACUUGCCUCAGCCUCCCAAAGUGCUGGGAUUACAGACGUGAGCCACCACACCCAGCCAAAACUAUUCCUUCUACUUUCUCCCAACACAGUGGCCUCUUUCCGACUUUUUUUGAGUUUUUUUCAGGGAUCAACCAAGCUAGGCAAUUUUGCCUUUUAUACAAUCUCCUGAAAUUCUAGUGAAUAACUUUUUUUUUUUCUCAUCUUCCGAUAUCUUGUGAUGGUCCCAAUGCAGAUGAUCUGUCCAGGGGAUGGAUGAGGAAAAGACAAGAAAUGAUGCCCAACUGUGGCCUCCAGACUGACCUCCCCUGACACUGCUUACUCCAUAGGUGAUGGGCAGUACGCUCUUAUGAGACUUUAUUUGAGGAUCUGUUUCCAUGGUACAGGCUAGGUAGGGGACAUAUCUUGUCCCUUCUAUACAGGGCUUCUCAGUCAGGCUGGGCUACUCGUGGUCAGCAGAAGUUUUCAGGCAACUGGGAUACAGAAAGAGCUGAGUGAGGGUGUGAAGAUGGCGAGGAGGGCCAUGGAAGUUCCAGGCUGAGGCUUUGGCAACUCCUUCCACCCUCAGAGCCAGGGUUUACAGGUUUGCCCAUCCAUUUCUGACCCUUCUUCCAGGAGCUAGGAUUGGAAAGGAGUACCUGUACUAACUGGCUUUUCUUCAUUCUCUGACCUCAGUUUCUGGAAUUCUUUUUGGUGCAAUUUGCCCCAAGUUGUCCAUCAAGAGUUGAAGGCAAAAUAAAUGGAGGGCAGUUCAUCUCCCCAAAUCUUUGAGGAAUAUUGUAUUUCUUGCCUUUUCUCCACAGUACUUGGGCUCUAAUGGGUCGCAUGUAAUAGCUGCCUGUAGGGUCACACAUGCACCGGGGGAUGGGUGCAGUGUCUCUUCAGAGCCUCUGGCUUGCUCUGAAGAUCCCUUCUGACUGGAAUGGGAAACCUAACAAUUAUUUCUCCCUGUUGGGAGUUCAGGCUUCUCCAUAAGCUUUGGCUCUGGGGAUGUAAGCUGAACCUUCCAGACCUCUGAGAGGCUUGUCUCCUGGGGACAGCAGAUGACCAUCACCUUCCAUCUGUCUUCCUAAAUGAGCAAGAAUCAGCAAUUCUUGCAUGGGCUUAGUUUCUCUAGGGAUGUCUUGCUGGCAGUUGUUUUCUCAUCACCUUGCUCCAGUGGGACCUGGUCUUCCAAAUUGCAAGCAGGAGGAGUUGGCAUGCAGCUUACUGCCAAAAUCUCAGGAUGUUUUACACCUCGAGGUCUCUUCUUCUUCCUGGUGCUGUGUACUCAGAAACCUGCCACAUAGAUCACAACACUGUGCACAUUCCUGAAUGCUUGUGUGCUGUUGGAUAUUGUUGCCUGGAGACAGGGAGAGUUAUGACUUUUUGACCUUGUAUAAUUUUCAAUUCUGGACCAUGCAAUUUUUCUAUUUAUCACCAUUGCUUCUCCACGUCUGAGGCCUGACUCCUUGGGAACAUUUCAGCAGCUCAGAAUCCUCCUCUUCAAUCUGGCUGUGCCUUCUCGCAGAUGCCAUAUGUUGGCUCACAUCCAUGUGGCUGUGGCCAGUGGAUCCCAGCUUGCCUGGCAGUUACUCCUUAGGAGGAUACCAGGCUCUGGGGAGUCUGCCCCAGCAGGUGAAUCAGGAGAAAGGCCCUUCUCAAUGAUCAAAGUUUUUUGUUCCUUUUUCAGGAUUGUGUGUCACUUAAGAAGCUGCAGUAAUCACCCAUGGCCAGGAUUUCCUCUGGUUGGUGGGUUGAUGAGUUUAUUCCUUGUCAUGCAAUGCCCUGGCUAAGACACCACAGAAUGCUUUGUAUGUGUUGCUCUCUCUACCUGCCUGACCUGUGUGUUACUCCACACAUUUCCAUGUGAACCUCAGGGUUCUGUCAACCCUCUCCCCUGGCCCAAGCAACAACAUGGCCAGUGCAGAAACAGUCAUCUUUCUUCCUUGAGCUGUAGGUUCCCUGGUCUCAUAGUCAAGAUGAGGGUGGACUUAGACCCACUAUUAGACUCAAAAUACUGCAUUUUGCAUUGGGGGCCAGUUUAUCUGCUGGUCCAGUGUUCUGGGGCUGCUCAGAUGUCACUUGGGGCUGCUUUAGAUCCCGAAUAUUUAGGGAAACAUGGCUCAAGCCUUCAGUCUCAUGGACUAUAUGAGCCCAGAGCUCUCCCCACAAUUCCUGUGAAUUCUAACCUUGGGUCCUCAGGGUCCCAUGUGGACCCCUUUGCCAAUGGGAUGCAAAUUUCUGCUGGUUCACAGAUUUCCUCUAAAAAUUUUACUGAAAGCUUAUCUUCUGCCACUUCUGUGCUUUUUGUUGGCUUAUUUGUUUCGUUUUUUGUUUUUAUUUUUUUAGUAAAAAAUAGGCACUAUAGGCAGGUCAGCUUUCCAUAUUUUCCUUUUCCCAAUUAUGAUGAAUAUAGUUUUAUUUAUUUAAUUAGCUAAGUAUUUUUAUGUUGGACUUUGCAGCAGCCUCAAGUAUUAUUUCAGACUUGGCAGGCAGCAUUUCCUGCACAGGUAGGUGUGAAUUUAUAAGCAAGGAGGUUGGAGGUUAGUGGUGAUUAUUUAACACUAUUUGGCUUAACAGAUGUAAUCUAAAUAUAGAUAAAUGAGAAAAAUGAGAGUUAAAACACCUAUUUCCGCCAUUUGAACCAGCAAUCCCGUUACUGGGUAUAUACCCAAAGGAUUAUAAAUCAUUCUACUAUAAGACACAUACACAUAUAUGUUUAUUACAGCAGUGUUCACAAUAGCAAAGACUUGGAACCAACCCAAAUGCCCAUCAGUGAUAGACAAGGUAAAGAAAAUGUGGCACAUAUACACCAUGGAACCAUAAAAAGGGAUGAGUUCAUGUCCUUUUCAGGGACAUUGAUGAAUCUGGAAACCAUCAUUCUCAGCAAAGUUAACACAGGAACAGAAAACCAAACACUGCAUGUUCUCACUUACAAGUGGGAGUUGAACAAUGAGAACACGUGGACACAGGGAGGGGAACAUUACAUACCGGGACCUGUCGGGGGAUGAGGGGCUAAGGGAGGGAGAGCAUUAGGGGAAAUACCUAAUUUAGAUGAUGGGUUGAUGGGUGCAGCAAACCACCAUGGCACGUGUAUACCUAUGUAACAAACCUGCACAUUCUGCACAUGUAUCCCAGAACUUAAAGUAUAAUUCAAAAUAAAAAAGAAAAACAAAAAACACCUAUUUCCAUAUUUAUGUAUGUUUCCUCAAAAAGUACAAUGGCUUUUUUUCCCUCUACUUCUCAAACUUAUUUUUAUUAAAACCAUUGCAUUCUUAUUAUUAAGUAUUUACUCUAUGUGUAUUUUAAAUAAGACUUAUAAUUGGAUUAAAUAAAUAGUAUGUAGUAAGUUGCAAUUGUGACUUUGUUCAAAUUUCCAGAUAUUUUAAAUCACCACUUAAUGCAAUCCUGGCUCUAACAUUGAGGCAUAAGUAUAUUUCACACACAUUUCUUAUUCUAGGGGUUAGACUGCUUUCUAGGCAAUGUUCUUUCCAAAUAUUCAGCCUUUCUGAAGACUGGAUGUGAUUCUUUUUAAUUUUUUUUAAGAUGGAGUUGCACUCUUGUUGC